UGACUUCGUAUCACUUGUUAGGAUUAGAAACAUACUGUAACGUCAGCGCACAAGACAUUGCGUAGCGUUCUCCCACGCAGGGCAUGCUGGGAUGCGGG
This is a long non-coding RNA of Alosa sapidissima (American shad), 98 nucleotides long. RefSeq lists it as uncharacterized. The transcript has 4 exons. The record is from RefSeq and is a predicted model, not a curated record. NCBI's taxonomy places the organism in Eukaryota, Metazoa, Chordata, Actinopteri, Clupeiformes, Clupeidae.